RNAcentral lists this ribosomal RNA (432 nucleotides) under Valettiopsis sp. DZMB 2021_0091. RNAcentral's name for it is "partial 16S ribosomal RNA". The stretch from base 299 to 432 matches the Rfam family "Bacterial large subunit ribosomal RNA", at positions 2473 to 2606 of the family's 2925-position model. The record is from RNAcentral. Lineage: Eukaryota; Metazoa; Arthropoda; Malacostraca; Amphipoda; Valettiopsidae.
UAGCAUAAUCAUUUGUUUUUUAAUUGAUGACUGGAAUGAACGGUUUAACAAAGUAAAGUUUUUUGUUAAUAUACUAGUAAAUUGUAUUUUUAGUGAUAAUACUGAAAUUAAAUUGAGGGACGAUAAGACCCUAAAAGCUUUAUUUUAGCAGUACUAAUUAUUUAAUUAUUAUAGUGAAAGUUAGGUUGGCAUAAUUUAACUGGGGUAGUGACUUUAUAAAAAUUAGCGUUAAUUGAUAAACAUGUUUAAUGGGUUUGAGAUCCUCUAUAUAAGGAUAAAUAGUGUGAGUUACUUUAGGGGUAACAGCGUAAUAUUCUUGAGGAGAUCUUAUUUAUAAGAGUGAUUACGACCUCGAUGUUGAAUUAAAGUAUCUUUGUGAGGUAGAAAGCACAUUAAGAGGGUUUGUUCAACCUUUAAAUUUUUACAUGAUUU